RNAcentral lists this ribosomal RNA (497 nucleotides) under uncultured bacterium. Its description in RNAcentral is "partial 16S ribosomal RNA". It matches the Rfam family "Bacterial small subunit ribosomal RNA", at positions 28 to 507 of the family's 1533-position model. The record is from RNAcentral.
GAUGAACGCUGGCGGCGUGCCUAAUACAUGCAAGUCGAGCGAACAGACGAGGAGCUUGCUCCUUUGACGUUAGCGGCGGACGGGUGAGUAACAUGUGGGUAACCUACCUAUAAGACUGGGAUAACUUCGGGAAACCGGAGCUAAUACCGGAUAAUAUUUCGAACCGCAUGGUUCGAUAGUGAAAGAUGGCUUUGCUAUCACUUAUAGAUGGACCUGCGCCGCAUUAGCUAGUUGGUAAGGUAACGGCUUACCAAGGCAACGAUACGUAGCCGACCUGAGAGGGUGAUCGGCCACACUGGAACUGAGACACGGUCCAGACUCCUACGGGAGGCAGCAGUAGGGAAUCUUCCGCAAUGGGCGAAAGCCUGACGGAGCAACGCCGCGUGAGUGAUGAAGGUCUUCGGAUCGUAAAACUCUGUUAUUAGGGAAGAACAAACGUGUAAGUAACUGUGCACGUCUUGACGGUACCUAAUCAGAAAGCCACGGCUAACUACGUG